UACGGGGGGGGCAAGCGUUGUUCGGAAUUACUGGGCGUAAAGGGCUCGUAGGCGGCCAACUAAGUCAGACGUGAAAUCCCUCGGCUUAACCGGGGAACUGCAUCUGAUACUGGAUGGCUUGAGUUCGGGAGAGGGAUGUGGAAUUCCAGGUGUAGCGGUGAAAUGCGUAGAUAUCUGGAGGAACACCGGUGGCGAAGGCGGGUCUCUGGGCAACAACUGACGCUGAGGAGCGAAAGCGUGGGGAGCGAACAGG
Molecule: ribosomal RNA, 253 nt
Filed under: uncultured bacterium
Lineage: Bacteria
Description: partial 16S ribosomal RNA
Rfam family: Bacterial small subunit ribosomal RNA
Source: RNAcentral